GUGGUGAUCUUGCGCAUGGUCGNAGGCUGACGCAGCGACGCCGCGUGGAGGACGAAGGCCUUCGGGUUGUAAACUCCUUUUCUGUGGGACGAAUANGGUAGUGCAGGCAAUGGUCUACCGAUGACGGUACCCCAGGAACAAGCGCCGGNUAACUUCUUGCCAGCAGCCGCCGGUAAGACGAAGGGCGCAAGCGUUAUCCGGAAUUACUGGNCGUAAAGGGCGUCUAGGCGGUCAAUCAAGUCGACGUUGAAAGCCCUUGGCUAAACUGAGGGAUGUACGUCGAAACUGGUUGGCUCGAGGAACGUAGAGGAAGGCGGAACUCUCGGAGUAGCGGUGAAAUGCGUAGAGACCGAGAGGUACCCCGAUGGUGAAGACAGCCUUNUGGGCGUUUCCUGACGCUGAAGCGCUAAGGCCAGGGGAGCGAAGGGGAUUAGAUACCCCCGUAGUCCUGGCUUCAAACGAUGUGGGCUUGNUGUCGGCUCCCCGACAGAGAGUCNUUGCCGGAGUUAACGCGUUNAGCCCACCGCCUGGGGACUACGUNCGCAAGGAUGAAACUCAAGGGAAUUGACGGGGGCNCACACAANCCGGNGGAGCACGUGGUUUAAUUUCNCUGAUUAAGCGAAGAACCUUUACCANGGGCUUUGACCCUNUNNGGUAGUAGGACCCUUGAAAAGGGGAACGAACCUUNAGGCU
This 693-nucleotide ribosomal RNA is filed under the name uncultured bacterium. RNAcentral describes it as "partial 16S ribosomal RNA". It matches the Rfam family "Bacterial small subunit ribosomal RNA", at positions 354 to 1026 of the family's 1533-position model. The record is from RNAcentral.